CCUACGGGUGGCAGCAGUGGGGGAUAUUGCACAAUGGGGGGAACCCUGAUGCAGCGACGCCGCGUGGGUGAAGAAGCGCCUCGGCGCGUAAAGCCCUGUCAGCAGGGAAGAAAAUGACGGUACCUGAAGAAGAAGCCCCGGCUAACUACGUGCCAGCAGCCGCGGUAAUACGUAGGGGGCAAGCGUGAUCCGGAUUUACGGGGUGUAAAGGGGGCGCAGACGGCGAUGCAAGCCAGGAGUGAAAGCCCGGGGGCCAACCCCGGGACUGCUCUUGGAACUGCGUGGCUGGAGUGCAGGAGGGGCAGGCGGAAGUCCUGGUGUAGCGGUGAAAUGCGUAGAUAUCAGGAGGAACACCGGUGGCGAAGGCGGCCUGCUGGACUGCAACUGACGUUGAGGCCCGAAAGCGUGGGGAGCAAACAGGAUUAGAUACCCGAGUAGUC
RNAcentral lists this ribosomal RNA (440 nucleotides) under uncultured bacterium. Its description in RNAcentral is "partial 16S ribosomal RNA". It matches the Rfam family "Bacterial small subunit ribosomal RNA", at positions 338 to 795 of the family's 1533-position model. The record is from RNAcentral.